RNAcentral lists this ribosomal RNA (970 nucleotides) under Limosilactobacillus fermentum. RNAcentral's name for it is "bacterial SSU rRNA". It matches the Rfam family "Bacterial small subunit ribosomal RNA", at positions 61 to 1002 of the family's 1533-position model. Lineage: Bacteria; Bacillati; Bacillota; Bacilli; Lactobacillales; Lactobacillaceae. The record is from RNAcentral.
AUUGAUUGAUGGUGCUUGCACCUGAUUGAUUUUGGUCGCCAACGAGUGGCGGACGGGUGAGUAACACGUAGGUAACCUGCCCAGAAGCGGGGGACAACAUUUGGAAACAGAUGCUAAUACCGCAUAACAACGUUGUUCGCAUGAACAACGCUUAAAAGAUGGCUUCUCGCUAUCACUUCUGGAUGGACCUGCGGUGCAUUAGCUUGUUGGUGGGGUAACGGCCUACCAAGGCGAUGAUGCAUAGCCGAGUUGAGAGACUGAUCGGCCACAAUGGGACUGAGACACGGCCCAUACUCCUACGGGAGGCAGCAGUAGGGAAUCUUCCACAAUGGGCGCAAGCCUGAUGGAGCAACACCGCGUGAGUGAAGAAGGGUUUCGGCUCGUAAAGCUCUGUUGUUAAAGAAGAACACGUAUGAGAGUAACUGUUCAUACGUUGACGGUAUUUAACCAGAAAGUCACGGCUAACUACGUGCCAGCAGCCGCGGUAAUACGUAGGUGGCAAGCGUUAUCCGGAUUUAUUGGGCGUAAAGAGAGUGCAGGCGGUUUUCUAAGUCUGAUGUGAAAGCCUUCGGCUUAACCGGAGAAGUGCAUCGGAAACUGGAUAACUUGAGUGCAGAAGAGGGUAGUGGAACUCCAUGUGUAGCGGUGGAAUGCGUAGAUAUAUGGAAGAACACCAGUGGCGAAGGCGGCUACCUGGUCUGCAACUGACGCUGAGACUCGAAAGCAUGGGUAGCGAACAGGAUUAGAUACCCUGGUAGUCCAUGCCGUAAACGAUGAGUGCUAGGUGUUUGGAAGGGUUUCCGCCCUUCAGUGCCGGAGCUAACGCAUUAAGCACUCCGCCUGGGGAGUACGACCGCAAGGUUGAAACUCAAAGGAAUUGACGGGGGCCCGCACAAGCGGUGGAGCAUGUGGUUUAAUUCGAAGCUACGCGAAGAACCUUACCAGGUCUUGACAUCUUGCGCCACCCUAG